UCUCCGUUGGUGAACCAGCGGAGGGAUCAUUGCUGGAACACGCCCUCGCGGCGCAUUUCCAUACCCUUUGUGAACUAUAACUCAUCGUUGCCUCGGCGUCGGGCCGGGGGGGAACAGUCCCCCCCCACCCCCCAUAGCGGGGGCGGAGCAGGCCGGCCGGCGGCCCUACAAACUCUUGUUUUUACUGUGUUAACUCUGAGGAAUCAUACAAAUGAAUCAAAACUUUCAACAACGGAUCUCUUGGUUCUGGCAUCGAUGAAGAACGCAGG
RNAcentral lists this unclassified non-coding RNA (269 nucleotides) under plant metagenome. RNAcentral describes it as "partial contains small subunit ribosomal RNA, internal transcribed spacer 1, and 5.8S ribosomal RNA". The stretch from base 221 to 269 matches the Rfam family "5.8S ribosomal RNA", at positions 1 to 49 of the family's 154-position model. The record is from RNAcentral.